AGACUGCAUCAGAUCCGUGCCUGAGGCCACCAAGGCUCGGGAUCCCCGCAUGGCUGGCCGACCGGACGCGGGUAUGCGUGAAGGCAGCCAGCAGCCAGGGGUCACUGCAGAACGGCUACGCGGGACACGGGAAAGCUUAACGCCAUCAGAGGCAAUUCUCCUGGGAUGCAGUGGAAUCGCUGAAGCUGACGGCGGGCAACCAGACUGAAGCUAGAUGGUGGAUAUGCAUUCAUGUGGUCAUCACAUGUCAUAGGCAGUUACCACUGCCAGGCCCCGUUCAGGUAGAUACAUCGCGUCCACCGUCCCUCAGAGCCUGUUAGUAGGAAGAGACAGUCACUCAACACACAGGGCAAUUCCAGCUGUGGUUCUUGUACAUCGACCACCCAGGAGUCACCGCGUAAGAAGCAAGCCCUUCCCCUGCCGCUCUCGGCCAUCUGCUGGGCAGCCACAAAGCAGCCACCACGCGUGAGCGCAUCUCCGUCCACGCUGGCCAGUCUGGGGC
Long non-coding RNA from Mirounga angustirostris (Northern elephant seal), 502 nucleotides. RefSeq lists it as uncharacterized. The record is from RefSeq and is a predicted model, not a curated record. The transcript has 3 exons. Lineage: Eukaryota; Metazoa; Chordata; Mammalia; Carnivora; Phocidae.